UUUGAGGGUUUGAUCCUGGCCCAGGAUGAACGCUAGCGGCGUGCUUUGAAUAUGCAAGUGGGACGAGCUCCGCAAGGAGCGAGUCGCGAACGGCUGAGUAAUGGAUAGGAAUCUACCUUUUGAUGUGGAAUACCCCUGCGAAAGCAGGGCUAAUACCGCAUAAGACCUAACGGUGAAAGCACUUAACUGUGCGUCGAAAGAUGAGCCUAUCUCCCAUCAGCUUGUUGGUAGGGUAAUGGCCUACCAAGGCUAUGACGGGUAGGGGGCGUGAGAGCGUGACCCCCCAGAAUGGGACUGAGAACGGCCCAUACACCUACGGGUGGCAGCAGCUGGGAAUCGUACGCAAUGGACGAAAGUCUGACGUCGCGACGCCGCGUGGAGGAUGAAGGCCUUCGGGUUGUAAACUUCUUUUGUCCUGAAUGAGAAUUCAGGAAGAAUAAGCACCUGCUAACUCUGUGCCAGCAGCAGCGGUCAUACAGAGGGUGCAAGCGUUAUCCGGAUUUAUUGGGCGUAAAGCGUUUCGUAGGCGGCCUUUUAAGUUAUCCUUUAAAGACCACGGCUCAACCGGGGGAAGGGGGAUAAUACUAUUAGGCUUGAAGUGUGGUGGGGCUUCUGGAACUGACGGUGUAGGAGUGAAAUCCGUUGAUAUCGUCAGGAACUCCAAGGGCGAAGGCAGGAAGCUAACCACAUCUUGACGCUGAGGAACGACAGCUAGGGGAGCGAAAUGGAUGUAACAAUUUGUAGAGACCCAUGUAGUCCUAGCCGUAAACUAUGCUCGCUAGAGAUUAUCAAUUUAUUGGUAGUCCCGUAAGCUAACGCGUUAAGCGAGCCGCCUGGGGAGUACGGCCGCAAGGCUAAAACUCAAAGGAAUUGACGGGGACCCGCACAACCAGUGGAGCACUUUGACAUGCUAUCGUUUACUUCGAUGGAAACAUUGAGGGAUCUAAAUUUAUUUGGAUGAUAGCACAGGUGUUGCAUGGCCGUCGUCAGCUCGUGUCGUGGGAUGUUCCCUUCAGUGGGGUAACGAGCGCAACCCCCACCAAAUGUUGAAUAUUCAUUUGGGACUAUCUGAAUUUAUUUCAGGUGGAAGUGGGGACGACGUCAGGUCCGCAUUGCCCUUAUAGACUGGGCUACACACAUGCUACAAUGGAGCCGACAAUGGGUUGCCAAGAGGUAACUCGGAGCUAAUCCCAUCAAACGGCUUCUCAGUUGGGAUUGGGGGCUGCAAUUCGCCCCCAUGAACUCGGAAUUGGUAGUAAUCGGAGGUCAGCUAUACUCCGGUGAAUACGUUCUCGGGUCUUGUAC
This 1305-nucleotide ribosomal RNA is filed under the name Candidatus Woesebacteria bacterium GW2011_GWB1_41_10. RNAcentral describes it as "bacterial SSU rRNA". It matches the Rfam family "Bacterial small subunit ribosomal RNA". Lineage: Bacteria; Candidatus Woeseibacteriota. The record is from RNAcentral.